AGGGCCGGGGGCUGGGACCUCUCGGGGUUACAGCCUUGCUGAAUUAUUCACCCUUGUCUUUUGCGUACUUCUUGUUUCCUUGGUGGGUUCGCCCACCACUAGGACAAACAUAAACCUUUUGUAAUUGCAAUCAGCGUCAGUAACAAAUUAAUAAUUACAACUUUCAACAACGGAUCUCUUGGUUCUGGCAUCGAUGAAGAACGCAGCGAAAUGCGAUAAGUAGUGUGAAUUGCAGAAUUCAGUGAAUCAUCGAAUCUUUGAACGCACAUUGCGCCCUUUGGUAUUCCAAAGGGCAUGCCUGUUCGAGCGUCAUUUGUACCCUCAAGCUUUGCUUGGUGUUGGGCGUCUUGUCUCUAGCUUUGCUGGAGACUCGCCUUAAAGUAAUUGGCAGCCGGCCUACUGGUUUCGGAGCGCAGCACAAGUCGCACUCUCUAUCAGCAAAGGUCUAGCAUCCAUUAAGCCUUUUUUUCAACUUUUGACCUCGGAUCAGGUAGGGAUACCCGCUGAACUUAAGCAUAUCAAUAAGCGGAGGGAAA
RNAcentral lists this ribosomal RNA (536 nucleotides) under Alternaria sp. Al 58. RNAcentral's name for it is "eukaryotic LSU rRNA". The stretch from base 159 to 312 matches the Rfam family "5.8S ribosomal RNA". The record is from RNAcentral. Lineage: Eukaryota; Fungi; Ascomycota; Dothideomycetes; Pleosporales; Pleosporaceae.